AAAUUGAAGAGUUUGAUCAUGGCUCAGAUUGAACGCUGGCGGCAGGCCUAACACAUGCAAGUCGAACGGUAACAGGAAGCAGCUUGCUGCUUUGCUGACGAGUGGCGGACGGGUGAGUAAUGUCUGGGAAACUGCCUGAUGGAGGGGGAUAACUACUGGAAACGGUGGCUAAUACCGCAUAACGUCGCAAGACCAAAGAGGGGGACCUUCGGGCCUCUUGCCAUCAGAUGUGCCCAGAUGGGAUUAGCUUGUUGGUGAGGUAACGGCUCACCAAGGCGACGAUCCCUAGCUGGUCUGAGAGGAUGACCAGCCACACUGGAACUGAGACACGGUCCAGACUCCUACGGGAGGCAGCAGUGGGGAAUAUUGCACAAUGGGCGCAAGCCUGAUGCAGCCAUGCCGCGUGUAUGAAGAAGGCCUUCGGGUUGUAAAGUACUUUCAGCGGGGAGGAAGGUGUUGUGGUUAAUAACCGCAGCAAUUGACGUUACCCGCAGAAGAAGCACCGGCUAACUCCGUGCCAGCAGCCGCGGUAAUACGGAGGGUGCAAGCGUUAAUCGGAAUUACUGGGCGUAAAGCGCACGCAGGCGGUCUGUCAAGUCGGAUGUGAAAUCCCCGGGCUCAACCUGGGAACUGCAUUCGAAACUGGCAGGCUUGAGUCUUGUAGAGGGGGGUAGAAUUCCAGGUGUAGCGGUGAAAUGCGUAGAGAUCUGGAGGAAUACCGGUGGCGAAGGCGGCCCCCUGGACAAAGACUGACGCUCAGGUGCGAAAGCGUGGGGAGCAAACAGGAUUAGAUACCCUGGUAGUCCACGCCGUAAACGAUGUCUACUUGGAGGUUGUGCCCUUGAGGCGUGGCUUCCGGAGCUAACGCGUUAAGUAGACCGCCUGGGGAGUACGGCCGCAAGGUUAAAACUCAAAUGAAUUGACGGGGGCCCGCACAAGCGGUGGAGCAUGUGGUUUAAUUCGAUGCAACGCGAAGAACCUUACCUGGUCUUGACAUCCACAGAACUUUCCAGAGAUGGAUUGGUGCCUUCGGGAACUGUGAGACAGGUGCUGCAUGGCUGUCGUCAGCUCGUGUUGUGAAAUGUUGGGUUAAGUCCCGCAACGAGCGCAACCCUUAUCCUUUGUUGCCAGCGGUUAGGCCGGGAACUCAAAGGAGACUGCCAGUGAUAAACUGGAGGAAGGUGGGGAUGACGUCAAGUCAUCAUGGCCCUUACGACCAGGGCUACACACGUGCUACAAUGGCGCAUACAAAGAGAAGCGACCUCGCGAGAGCAAGCGGACCUCAUAAAGUGCGUCGUAGUCCGGAUUGGAGUCUGCAACUCGACUCCAUGAAGUCGGAAUCGCUAGUAAUCGUGGAUCAGAAUGCCACGGUGAAUACGUUCCCGGGCCUUGUACACACCGCCCGUCACACCAUGGGAGUGGGUUGCAAAAGAAGUAGGUAGCUUAACCUUCGGGAGGGCGCUUACCACUUUGUGAUUCAUGACUGGGGUGAAGUCGUAACAAGGUAACCGUAGGGGAACCUGCGGUUGGAUCACCUCCUUACCUGAAAGAA
This 1552-nucleotide ribosomal RNA is filed under the name Salmonella enterica subsp. enterica serovar Saintpaul. RNAcentral describes it as "bacterial SSU rRNA". It matches the Rfam family "Bacterial small subunit ribosomal RNA". The record is from RNAcentral. RNAcentral also lists the same sequence under 2 other names. Lineage: Bacteria; Pseudomonadati; Pseudomonadota; Gammaproteobacteria; Enterobacterales; Enterobacteriaceae.